Small nucleolar RNA from Cyanistes caeruleus (blue tit), 138 nucleotides. The record is from Ensembl. Lineage: Eukaryota; Metazoa; Chordata; Aves; Passeriformes; Paridae.
CACGGUGGUUGCUGUGUGUGGCAGGUCUGUAAGCGUAUCAGAGCUGCAGCAGAACUACCACAGAGAUGAGAAAGGAGCAGGCUGUGCUGAGAACUUUCAAGCUUUGAGUUUUCAGCUCUCUGUCCUGCUCCUACAGGA